GAUGAAGAACGUAGCGAAAUGCGAUAAGUAGUGUGAAUUGCAGAAUUCAGUGAAUCAUCGAAUCUUUGAACGCACAUUGCGCCCCUUGGUAUUCCAUGGGGCAUGCCUGUUCGAGCGUCAUUUGUACCCUCAAGCUUUGCUUGGUGUUGGGUGUUUGUCCCGCGUUGCGCGUGGACUCGCCUUAAAGCGAUUGGCAGCCGGCAUAUUGGCCUUGGUGCGCAGCACAUUUUGCGCUUCUAGUCAUGAAUGUUGGCGUCCAUUAAGCCUAUACAUUUGCCCUUGACCUCGGAUCAGGUAGGGAUACCCGCUGAACUUAAGCAUAUCAAUAAGCGGAGGA
This 337-nucleotide unclassified non-coding RNA is filed under the name soil metagenome. RNAcentral's name for it is "partial contains 5.8S ribosomal RNA, internal transcribed spacer 2, and large subunit ribosomal RNA". The stretch from base 1 to 120 matches the Rfam family "5.8S ribosomal RNA", at positions 35 to 154 of the family's 154-position model. The record is from RNAcentral.